AUUGAACGCUGGCGGCAGGCUUAACACAUGCAAGUCGAGCGGGGUGAUGGUGCUUGCACUAUCACUUAGCGGCGGACGGGUGAGUAAUGCUUAGGAAUCUGCCUAUUAGUGGGGGACAACAUCUCGAAAGGGAUGCUAAUACCGCAUACGUCCUACGGGAGAAAGCAGGGGAUCACUUGUGACCUUGCGCUAAUAGAUGAGCCUAAGUCGGAUUAGCUAGUUGGUGGGGUAAAGGCCUACCAAGGCGACGAUCUGUAGCGGGUCUGAGAGGAUGAUCCGCCACACUGGGACUGAGACACGGCCCAGACUCCUACGGGAGGCAGCAGUGGGGAAUAUUGGACAGUGGGGGGAACCCUGAUCCAGCCAUGCCGCGUGUGUGAAGAAGGCCUUAUGGUUGUAAAGCACUUUAAGCGAGGAGGAGGCUCUUUUGGUUAGUACCUAGAGACAGUGGACGUUACUCGCAGAAUAAGCACCGGCUAACUCUGUGCCAGCCGCCGCUGUAA
This 503-nucleotide ribosomal RNA is filed under the name uncultured bacterium. RNAcentral describes it as "partial 16S ribosomal RNA". It matches the Rfam family "Bacterial small subunit ribosomal RNA", at positions 30 to 523 of the family's 1533-position model. The record is from RNAcentral.